GACGAACGCUGGCGGCGUGCUUAACACAUGCAAGUCGAGCGAGGCCCCUCCUUCGGGAGGGUGUCCUAGCGGCGAACGGGUGAGUAACACGUGGGCAACCUGCCCUCAGCUCUGGGAUAACUCCGGGAAACCGGGGCUAAUACCGGAUACGACCUCCACGGGCAUCUGCGGAGGUGGAAAGUUUUUCGGCUGAGGAUGGGCCCGCGGCCUAUCAGCUAGUUGGUGGGGUAGUGGCCCACCAAGGCGACGACGGGUAGCCGGCCUGAGAGGGCGACCGGCCACACUGGGACUGAGACACGGCCCAGACUCCUACGGGAGGCAGCAGUGGGGAAUAUUGCGCAAUGGGCGAAAGCCUGACGCAGCGACGCCGCGUGAGGGACGAAGGCCUUCGGGUUGUAAACCUCUUUCAGCAGGGACGAAGCGAAAGUGACGGUACCUGCAGAAGAGGCACCGGCCAACUACGUG
This 465-nucleotide ribosomal RNA is filed under the name uncultured bacterium. RNAcentral describes it as "partial 16S ribosomal RNA". It matches the Rfam family "Bacterial small subunit ribosomal RNA", at positions 28 to 507 of the family's 1533-position model. The record is from RNAcentral.